Molecule: long non-coding RNA, 200 nt
Organism: Amphimedon queenslandica
Lineage: Eukaryota; Metazoa; Porifera; Demospongiae; Haplosclerida; Niphatidae
Exons: 4
Source: RefSeq, a predicted model, not a curated record
UAAAAGAUUGUGUUAAUGGUUGCUGAUUAUCCUGAAAUGAACGACAGAACUUACAUGGUAGUAAAUUCAUGACAAGUACAGUAGUAAUAAUUCUAAAGUAGGCUGAGGUCUGUAAAAACUCGGCUGAGAGUACUAAUACUAGUACAAAGUUAACAGCUCUACAUUUUUUUGUUUUUAUUUACUGAUUGUUUUAUGUUGUU